CAUCCCUGGCAUUAAAAAUCAAGAAAAAGAAGCGAGUUUUGUCCCCGACGGCCACCAAGCCGAGUCCUUUCGAGGGCAAAUCCGUAUCCGAAAGCAACCCCAGCAAACCUUCGUCCCCGGAACCCAACUCUGGUUCUGAUGGGAUGGAAUCGGACCGACCCGGCACUCCGGUACCGGCCGUGGAGGUACCAGAACCUAUGGAAAUAGGGUCGUCGGAGCAAAGCGAUGGGAAACAAAACGAUGGUGGGAGCGACGGGGCUCCGCUGAGUAAGAAGGGGAGGAAAGGAAAAGCGUGAGCUGGCCCGAAGAGAGC
This is a non-coding RNA of Meleagris gallopavo (turkey), 313 nucleotides long. NCBI's taxonomy places the organism in Eukaryota, Metazoa, Chordata, Aves, Galliformes, Phasianidae. The record is from RefSeq and is a predicted model, not a curated record.